This 424-nucleotide long non-coding RNA is filed under the name Cyanistes caeruleus (blue tit). RNAcentral describes it as "lncRNA (ENSCCEG00000011257.1)". The record is from RNAcentral. Lineage: Eukaryota; Metazoa; Chordata; Aves; Passeriformes; Paridae.
GUCAAAGGGGCGACACAGGAGUCUAUUUACAUUCUCCCCAGCCUGAGCUCGUGCAUCCUGCCUUUUGUCCUGUUGGAUUUUGCAUGGCUCAGAGCUGGCUCGGAACACAGGGAGGGACAGUCCCAGAGGCAGAGCUUGCUUGCCCCUGCUAUUUAGAGCUCACAGUGAUCAAAGAUUGAAAACCGGCCUCUUCCUCAAACAACAUGAGUCAUUGGCCAAUGCAGAUGUGAGCAAAAGCAUCUUAGCCUCUCUGUUUUCAUACAGGUAGAGAUGGCUUAGAUGAAGAGGAAGAUGAAGAUGUAAGGAAGACCUUGACUGAAGCAGAAAGUGUUGGUUUAUCUCUGCAUCUGUAGAAGCCUAGAAAAUGAGGCAGCUCCCGUGUCCAUCUCAAACACGGCUGUGGAGCCAACCAAGGAUUGCUGGU